CAAAUGAAUUGACGGGACCCGCACAAGCGGUGGAUGAUGUGGUUUAAUUCGAUGCAACGCGAAAAACCUUACCCACCUUUGACAUGGCAGGAAUCCCGAAGAGAUUUGGGAGUGCUCGAAAGAGAACCUGCACACAGGUGCUGCAUGGCUGUCGUCAGCUCGUGUCGUGAGAUGUUGGGUUAAGUCCCGCAACGAGCGCAACCCUUGCCAUUAGUUGCUACGAAAGGGCACUCUAAUGGGACUGCCGGUGACAAACCGGAGGAAGGUGGGGAUGACGUCAAGUCCUCAUGGCCCUUAUAGGUGGGGCUACACACGUCAUACAAUGGCCGGUACAGAGGGUAGCCAACCCGCGAGGGGGAGCCAAUCCCACAAAGCCGGUCGUAGUCCGGAUCGCAGUCUGCAACUCGACUGCGUGAAGUCGGAAUCGCUAGUAAUCGCGGAUCAGCAUGUCGCGGUCGAAUACGUUCCCGGGCCUU
Molecule: ribosomal RNA, 476 nt
Filed under: uncultured Allobrachymonas sp.
Lineage: Bacteria; Pseudomonadati; Pseudomonadota; Betaproteobacteria; Burkholderiales; Comamonadaceae
Description: bacterial SSU rRNA
Rfam family: Bacterial small subunit ribosomal RNA
Source: RNAcentral